Long non-coding RNA from Mya arenaria, 834 nucleotides. RefSeq lists it as uncharacterized. Lineage: Eukaryota; Metazoa; Mollusca; Bivalvia; Myida; Myidae. The transcript is spliced from 2 exons. The record is from RefSeq and is a predicted model, not a curated record.
AUUUACCGGUUAAGGCUUGUGGAGGGUCUCCUGCUAUUUACCGUUGACACCAUUAAAGUAUUCUGAUUGAUGGAGAUAAGGAAGUCCCCUUAUUAUUGUCUUCAACAAGCCUACCGCCACAGGGGACCUAGCAUAAGACCGGAAACCGCCCCCCCCACACACACACCACACAUGAUAUUUGCCAGUCCAGGCAAUGUCAACCGCAAGAGAAAACCAGUGAUGACAAGUUUUACAAAUAAUCGGAAAGUGUGGUCUUUUGAAGAGAGUUCUUGAGGUUGUUCAGCAUGUUGUUUUGAUGGAUUCUUGGAAGGAUGUACCUCUAUGAUGAUAGCUUCAGUUCUGGAGUAUAACACCAGUUGUUGCAUAUUUAAUAUCAGAUUUAUUAAAUACAUUGUUGUUUUGCAAACAUUACUUAAACUUUGAUAUUUCUUUGGUGUUUAUGUAUGAUAUUGUAGGUGAAUAUCUCUUUAUUGCAAUGGCAAAUAUAUUUUAAAAUAUAUAGCAUUAGCAGAAGUUAUUUUUCACUGUUAAAGCUGCACUUUCACAGAUUGAUCACUUUGACAACUUACACAGGAUUCGAUUGCAUUUAUCAUAUUUUGGCUCGGAGAAGUUUGCUUUGUGAUUUAUAUAUGAGGUCUUAAUUUAAAGAAUGCCAAAAUAAGCCGAUUCUGAGACAAAAAGUGUCAAACUAGAAUUCUGUGAGAGUGCAACUUUAAGAAUACUGUUAAUCGAGUGUGCAUGUGAUCCGGACUCUGAACAUUGGAUGAACUAUCAUUAAAUAUUGUAGAUUUACGUAAAUGGCCCAAAAUAUAAGAAUAACAAUGAAAAUAUGUA